UGGCGUACGGGUGAGUAACACGUGGAUGAUCUACCUCCUAGUGGGGGAAUAACUCUGGGAAACCGGAGCUAAUACCGCAUAAGCUCGGAAGAGGAAAGCAGCAAUGCGCUGGGAGAGGAGUCCGCGGCCGAUUAGCUAGUUGGUAGGGUAAAGGCCUACCAAGGCGAUGAUCGGUAGCCGGCCUGAGAGGGCACACGGCCACACUGGCACUGGGACACGGGCCAG
RNAcentral lists this ribosomal RNA (225 nucleotides) under uncultured bacterium. RNAcentral's name for it is "partial 16S ribosomal RNA". It matches the Rfam family "Bacterial small subunit ribosomal RNA", at positions 96 to 334 of the family's 1533-position model. The record is from RNAcentral.